RNAcentral lists this ribosomal RNA (394 nucleotides) under uncultured bacterium. RNAcentral describes it as "partial 16S ribosomal RNA". It matches the Rfam family "Bacterial small subunit ribosomal RNA", at positions 338 to 729 of the family's 1533-position model. The record is from RNAcentral.
CCUACGGGGUGCAGCAGUGAGGAAUAUUGGUCAAUGGUCGUAAGACUGAACCAGCCAUGCCGCGUGCAGGAUGACGGCCCUAUGGGUUGUAAACUGCUUUUAUGCGGGGAUAAACUCAGUCACGCGUGAUUGUUUGUAAGUACCGUAUGAAUAAGGACCGGCUAAUUCCGUGCCAGCCGCCGCGGUAAUACGGAGGGUUCGGGCGUUAUCCGGAUUUAUUGGGUUUAAAGGGAGCGUAGGCGGUAUGUUAAGCGUGCCGUGAAAUGCCGGGGCUCAACCGUGGCAUUGCGGCGGAUACUGGCCGGCUAGAGUGUAGGGGAGGUAUGCGGAAUGCGUGGUGUAGCGGUGAAAUGCUUAGAUAUCAGGAAGAACACCGAUUGCGAAGGCAGCAUAC